UGGGAGUUGGCCUUCAGUUCGAUGAUCAGGAAUGAGUCUGUGUCUGAUGUGAAAAACCCAGAAUUACAAUUCCUGGAAAUAUUUCUUCCUGCAGUGACACAACGCCAGCAGAAGGGCCUGACUCACUGAAAGAGUGGUGUCACUAUUAUAUCACUGGGGUCUCUUGAAGCUUAUGCAAUUAUGAGAUCACUUCCAUCAGCAUCUGUUGCAUCAUUUUAUGAAGAGACCAUAUCCUCGGGAAGAACAGCCAGUACCAGGUUUUGCCAUAUAUGGCAUCUUCCUCUCCCCCUUCCUCAUCCUACUGCGUGGCUCCAAGGUGGCAAGAAACAGCUACCCAACUUUACGCUGCCCAUGUGUUCCCCCCCACUGCAUAGCCUUCUGAAUGAGGGUGGAUCUUGGCAGUCUAUGAGAGAAGUUGGUGGCAGCUGCAGGAGGAAUCAGAGGCUCCCUGUUGAUAAAGGCGGACCAGAUUGUGGUUAUCUCUAUGCCAGGUACAGUGUGGUAGGGCUCCAGUUGCCAGCCACCUCACUCCUUACUCUGAGACAUUUGCUUCCUUUGAUUCUGCAGAAUGGAAAUACUAGUCUUGACCAGCUGCUAAAGGCAUGCAGUGCCUGCUUCCUGUUUUCUGUAGCAAUGGACUGCUACCUUUUGGCUUUCUGAAAGGAUUUUUUUGUGUUGUGUUAGUCACUUGGAAUUAAAUGCAAGCUAUUCAUUAAAGGGAAAAACACACACACACACCACACGCACUGUUUCAAUAAAUGAAAUUACUGUAUCAAGUUUGAAUAAGCAUGCGCCACAGCCUGGGUGUUUUGUCAAAAUGUUCCCAAAAUACUUCCAGUCAAUGUCAACAUGUCUAGAGCUUCUGCUAAAAGCCAAAGGACACCAUUUGAAACGUAAACAUUUUCUUUCUCUGUUUAUCUCUUGCCGUUGGCACACUCGGCUCUUUGUAUGCAAUACUGUACCUAGAUUUUAUUUUCACAAGAAUUUCACCAGCUUUUUGCUGGUUUUAAAAAGUCUGAAAAUGUGGGUGUGUUUUU
Molecule: long non-coding RNA, 1037 nt
Organism: Podarcis raffonei (Aeolian wall lizard)
Lineage: Eukaryota; Metazoa; Chordata; Lepidosauria; Squamata; Lacertidae
Exons: 2
Source: RefSeq, a predicted model, not a curated record